ACGUACACUCCUACGGGAGGCAGCAGUGGGGAAUAUUGCACAAUGGGCGCAAGCCUGAUGCAGCCAUGCCGCGUGUAUGAAGAAGGCCUUCGGGUUGUAAAGUACUUUCAGCGGGGAGGAAGGUGUUGAGGUUAAUAACCUCAGCAAUUGACGUUACCCGCAGAAGAAGCACCGGCUAACUCCGUGCCAGCAGCCGCGGUAAUACGGAGGGUGCAAGCGUUAAUCGGAAUUACUGGGCGUAAAGCGCACGCAGGCGGUCUGUCAAGUCGGAUGUGAAAUCCCCGGGCUCAACCUGGGAACUGCAUUCGAAACUGGCAGGCUAGAGUCUUGUAGAGGGGGGUAGAAUUCCAGGUGUAGCGGUGAAAUGCGUAGAGAUCUGGAGGAAUACCGGUGGCGAAGGCGGUCCCCUGGACAAAGACUGACGCUCAGGUGCGAAAGCGUGGGGAGCAAACAGGAUUAGAAACCCGUGUAGUCC
RNAcentral lists this ribosomal RNA (475 nucleotides) under uncultured organism. RNAcentral's name for it is "partial 16S ribosomal RNA". It matches the Rfam family "Bacterial small subunit ribosomal RNA", at positions 329 to 796 of the family's 1533-position model. The record is from RNAcentral.